RNAcentral lists this ribosomal RNA (924 nucleotides) under uncultured bacterium. RNAcentral describes it as "bacterial SSU rRNA". It matches the Rfam family "Bacterial small subunit ribosomal RNA", at positions 8 to 947 of the family's 1533-position model. The record is from RNAcentral.
AGAGUUUGAUCAUGGCUCAGGACGAACGCUGGCGGCGUGCUUAACACAUGCAAGUCGAGCGAUGAAGUUUCUUCGGAAAUGGAUUAGCGGCGAACGGGUGAGGAACACGUGAAGAAUCUGCCCUCCACUUUGGGAUAACACCGGGAAACCGGUGCUAAUACCGAAUAUUGAAACAUAAGUGGCAUCACUGAGUUUUGAAAGAAUUUCGGUGGAGGAUGACUUCGCGGCCUAUCAGCUAGUUGGUGAGGUAAUGGCUCACCAAGGCAACGACGGGUAGCCGGCCUGAGAGGGCGACCGGCCACACUGGGACUGAGACACGGCCCAGACUCCUACGGGAGGCAGCAGUGGGGAAUAUUGGGCAAUGGAGGAAACUCUGACCCAGCGACGCCGCGUGCGGGAUGAAGGCCUUCGGGUUGUAAACCGCUUUCAGUAGGGAAGAAGCGAAAGUGACGGUACCUACAAAAGAAGCACCGGCUAACUAUGCGCCAGCAGCCGCGGUAAUACAUAGGGUGCAAGCGUUGUCCGGAAUUAUUGGGCGUAAAGAGCUCGUAGGUCGUUUGUUACGUCGGAUGUGAAAACCUGAGGCUCAACCUCAGGCCUGCAUUCGAUACGGGCAAACUAGAGUUUGGUAGGGGAGACUGGAAUUCCUGGUGUAGCGGUGGAAUGCGCAGAUAUCAGAGGAACACCAAUGGCGAAAGCAGGUCUCUGGGCCAAUACUGACACUGAGGAGCGAAAGUCUGGGGAGCGAACAGGAUUAGAUACCCUGGUAGUCCAGACCGUAAACGGUGGGCACUAGUUGUGGGAACCUUCCACGGGUUUCUGCGACGCAGCUAACGCAUUAAGUGCCCCGCCUGGGGGGUACGAUCGCAAGAUUAAAACUCAAGGAAUUGACGGGNNCCGCACAAGCAGCGGAGCAUGCGGCUU